CGGGGCGUAGCGCAGUCUGGUAGCGCGCCUGCUUUGGGAGCAGGAUGUCGGGAGUUCAAAUCUCUCCGCCCCGACCA
RNAcentral lists this transfer RNA (77 nucleotides) under Desulfotignum phosphitoxidans DSM 13687. RNAcentral describes it as "tRNA-Pro". It matches the Rfam family "tRNA". From Rfam's summary of the family: Transfer RNA (tRNA) molecules are approximately 80 nucleotides in length. Their secondary structure includes four short double-helical elements and three loops (D, anti-codon, and T loops). Lineage: Bacteria; Pseudomonadati; Thermodesulfobacteriota; Desulfobacteria; Desulfobacterales; Desulfobacteraceae. RNAcentral also lists the same sequence under 9 other names. The record is from RNAcentral.